ACAUGUCGCAUGGAUUUUGUUUGAAGGUGGCUUCGAGCUAUCACUUCUGGAUGAUCCCGCGGCGUAUUAGUUAGUUGGUGAGGUAAAGGCCCACCAAGACGAUGAUACGUAGCCGACCUGAGAGGGUAAUCGGCCACAUUGGGACUGAGACACGGCCCAAACUCCUACGGGAGGCAGCAGUAGGGAAUCUUCCACAAUGGACU
Molecule: ribosomal RNA, 203 nt
Filed under: Levilactobacillus brevis
Lineage: Bacteria; Bacillati; Bacillota; Bacilli; Lactobacillales; Lactobacillaceae
Description: Lactobacillus brevis partial 16S ribosomal RNA
Rfam family: Bacterial small subunit ribosomal RNA
Source: RNAcentral